CGAAGGAAAAUCAGAAGAAGAAGCUGAGAGAGGGAUGCGAAGUAGGGAUUGUGAAAUUGGGAUUGUGAAAUUGGGAUUGAGAUUUGGGUGAAUAUAUGAUUGAAAAACCUAUGAAUUUUGCUGCGAACACAGAGUCGAUUUUUUCUAUCUCAAAAAUGGAGUACUACUGGUUUUUGGGUUUUGCCUCUUUAGUACUCUCUCUCUCUCUCUUGUCCGUUUUCCUGCACGUUGGGAUUUUUCUUUUUUUCCUUCUCAACUUUU
Molecule: long non-coding RNA, 261 nt
Filed under: Trifolium pratense (red clover)
Lineage: Eukaryota; Viridiplantae; Streptophyta; Magnoliopsida; Fabales; Fabaceae
Description: long non-coding RNA (TPRA_LNC009114)
Source: RNAcentral